RNAcentral lists this ribosomal RNA (253 nucleotides) under uncultured bacterium. RNAcentral describes it as "partial 16S ribosomal RNA". It matches the Rfam family "Bacterial small subunit ribosomal RNA", at positions 524 to 776 of the family's 1533-position model. The record is from RNAcentral.
UACGAAGGGUGCAAGCGUUGUUCGGAAUCACUGGGCGUAAAGCGCGCGUAGGCGGCUUGCCAAGUCAGGGGUGAAAUGCCGGGGCUUAACCCCGGAACUGCCUCUGAAACUGGCAAGCUUGAGACUCGGAGGGGAGUGGGGAAUUUCUAAUGUAGCGGUGAAAUGCGUAGAUAUUAGAAGGAACACCGGUGGCGAAGGCGCCACUCUGGACGAGUACUGACGCUGAGGCGCGAAAGCGUGGGGAUCAAACAGG